This 5185-nucleotide long non-coding RNA is filed under the name Cicer arietinum (chickpea). RNAcentral describes it as "long non-coding RNA (CARI_LNC003636)". Lineage: Eukaryota; Viridiplantae; Streptophyta; Magnoliopsida; Fabales; Fabaceae. The record is from RNAcentral.
UGGCUUCAAAAAUUGCUAUUCUCCUUUCCAUCAACAUCCUAUUUUUCACUAUGGUUACCUCAACUAAUGUUUGUCCUCCAUCACCCCCUAAAGUUCAAAAACCACCCCAACCACCUUCCACAAAACCCCCCCAACAACCUUCCCCAAAAUCCCCCCAACAACCUUCCCCAAAAUCCCCCCAACCACCUUCCCCAAAAUCCCCAACUUGUCCUAUAGACACACUUAAGUUUGGUGUGUGUGCUGAUUUAUUGGGUGUGGUUCAUAUUAUAAUUGGUAAGUCACAAUGUUGUUCACUCAUUAAUGGUCUUGCUAAUCUUGAAGCUGCUGUGUGCCUUUGCACUGCCCUUAAAGCUAAUGUGUUGGGAAUCAACCUUAAUAUUCCUAUUAACUUGAGCUUGAUACUUAACGAUUGUGGAAAGGGUGUUCCAAAGGGCUUCGUAUGCGCUUAAUUACUAAUUAGAGACACCACUUCAUUAUAUAGUGUGUGGAUUUUGUACUCUUUGCUACUUAAUUGUCAUUUUCUUAUGAAUAAUACUUUGUAAUGGUUUGAAAUUGCUAUGAAUAAUAUCAUUGUCGUGGUUUAUUAGUAUUGCUAUGAAUAAUAUUUUUGUGAUGGUUUAUUAUUAUUGCUAUGAAUAAUAUUGUUGUGAUAGUUUUAAAUUGAAGCAUUAAUUUGUCUUCCUUUUCAAUAUCAAUACAAAUGGUGGUUUGUAUAGUAUUUCGUCUACGUAAAAUUUCUAGUAUAAUUCGAAUGUUAAAUAAAAAUAGCAAAAUUCAAUUGAUUAUAAAUUGAAUAUUUUCCAUCCAUAUUUAAUGUUAAGAUUAAAUUUAAUGACCUAAAAAGAUAAAAAUAUAAUAACUAUACACAUAAAUAUUUUAAAAGCAGAUGAAUAGUAAUCAAAUUAAAACCUUAAUUUUAAUUAACAAAUUUAUUUAUUCUACCUAUAACCAAUUUUUAAAAAUAAUAUAAGAUUACAGUUAGGGAUGAGAAUAAGCUAGGCCGUCCGACAACGGCCUAUGACAUGGCCUACUUAUGACCUGGCCUAUUUAAUAAAAAGACUAGGCUCAAGCUAUUUUUAAAGCUUAUUUAUUUAAAUAGGUCAGACUCAGGCUUAUAAAGAAGCCUAUUAGGCCUGACAUGCCGACCUAUAUAGAUUUAAUUAUUUACUAAUGUUAUUUUUUAUUAUUAUAUUAUUAAUAUUAUUUCCUAUUUUAAAUUCUAUCAAUUAGACAAUCACUCGGUAGUCAUUCCAUAUUUGGUAGUCGUUCCAUAUUCGGUAGGCAUUCAAUUAGUCAAUAACUCAGUAGUCCUUUCAUAUUUGUUUGAGAGGUAAUAAUUGGUACAUUUGUUUCAAAAACAAAAAGUCUAUUCUUUGAAACUAAGAAUUAUGUUUUAGAGUUUAAAGGAUGUUUGUUUCAGAUUUUUUAAAAAUUAUUUUGUUAGAAAAAUUAUUUUUUGUUUAAUAUAUAUAGAUACGUACAUUGAUAUUGAUAUGUGGAGAACAUUUAAAUAUUUUAAUAUGAAUAAGACUUUUAAAUAGGCUUCCAGGUCAGGCCAGACCAGAUCGAAAAAAAAAGCCUAUGAUAAGCCGUGGGCCAGACUUGGGCCUAAAAAAUUAAUCGUAGGCCAGGCUCAGGCCUUGCAAAGCCUGGUCUGAUCUGACCUAUUCCCACCCCUAAUUACAGUAUGUAAUAUCAUGCAUAUUUGUCUGUACCGUAUAGAAUAAAAAAAAAUUGUGUAAAACUUUUUUUAUAUAUGUUACAAUUUUAAUUUUAUAAUUAGAAAUAUAUAAAAAAUUGCAAAAGAUAAAUAAGCCAUUUCAAUUUGAUUUUCUGUUUUGAAAAAUUUGAGGAUUUUUCUUUAAUAUCCCUUUGUUUCAAUUUUUUUUCUAAACAAUUAAUAAUAAUAAAAAUGAUUAAAAUUAGUAAAAAACAAUACAAAAAUUUAUAGAGGUUGAAUAGAGUUAUUUGUAAUAUAGAAUAAUAAUUUGAAUUUUGAUCGGAUAACCAAUCUAAUUUAAAUUGUGGAUCUUAUAUCACUUUUACAAAAAUGCAUAUAAGAAUCUUUCAUUUGGUUAUUUUUUGGUAUUCAUUUUAAAAUUUUGCAAUAAGAAUUAUUAAUUUAAUUGUAAUAAAAAUAUUUUUACUUUUUAAGGUAGAAAAUUAUUAUUGUUAUUAUUAUUAUUAUUCUUAAUAUAAAUAGGAUUAAAUAUAUUUUUAAUUCCUAAUUUUUUAUAUAUUUUAAUUUUAGUUGCUAUAAAAUAAAAAUGUAAUUUUAAUCCUUACAAAGUUGUCGAUCCGGUAAGUAGUUCUAAUCUCUGUUUAAACAAAAUAUACUUAAUUGUUUUUCAACUUUAAAAAUUUUAGAAUGACUUUUCACACGUAUGUUUAUAAUAUUAUAAAAAGCUAAGUUCAUCCGCAUAAAUUUUGAAUUUUUUUUAUCUUGGUAUAAUUAAAUAUAAAAUUUUUAAAUAUAAAAAAUCAAGAUAAAAUUAACAAAAAUAUAGAUUUAAAAACCUAAUUUUGAGCUCAUAUUUUGUGGUAUAAUAUAAACAAAUUAUACUUAAUUAUUUUUCAACUUUAAAAAUUUUAGAAUGACUUUUUACAGGUAUGAUUAGAAUAUUAUAAAAAGCUAAGUACAUUCACAUAAAUUUUGAAUUGUUUUUACCUUGGGUAUAAUUAAAUAUAAAAUUUUUAAAUAUAAAAAAUCAAGAUAAAAUUAACAAAAAUAUAGAUUUAAAAACCUAAUUUUGAGCUCAUAUUUUGUGGUAUAAUAUCUUUUAUAUUGUUGUAAAUAUAAUUGCAAAAAUUUAUUUAAAAAUAUAUGUUGACUUAACAACCUAAACUAAAACUACGUGCACGAUAAUUUUGUGUGAACUUAAAAUUAUAUUUUUAUUAUACUUAGAUUAAAUUGAAAAGAUUCAAAUUUUAUAAAGACUAAUAAAAACAUAUUUAACCUUUUUAAAUAAAUUAUAAGUAGUAUUCCUUCCAUAAUGAAUUAUAAACAAAAAAACUCAAUAACAUCUAAAAAAUAUUAUUCAUCAUAUUUAAUCUAUACAAUUCCAAUAUAUAAAAUAAAAUCUAUUGCUUAAAUUGUGAUCAUUAACUAAUAAAGUUUUUUGUUUGUUUUUGUUGUAAAAUGGAUAUAUCAAAGCUAACCUCUAGCACAAGGUGUGCAACACACAUGCAUGAAUACAUGAUGAUCUUAUAACACCACACUACUGUAACCACUUCUACAAAGCUUUGAAACUUCCCCACAAGGAUCUACACACUUGAAGCAUUGUUCUCCAUUAUCAAUAAGUGAAAGCCCUUCAACAUUAAACGCACUUUGCAUGCCCAUCACAUCUUAUUGCAUCAGAAAAUCUUACAAACCACAACCUUUUAAUUGUUGGUAGUCUAUCCCAAUCACUUAUCCUCGAUAACUAAUAAAUUGAGUUAUUGAAUAUAUAAAAAUAUAUAUUAAAUGAGGGGUAGUUUAGAGAUAUUAUUAUUAAAUAAGAGAGACAUUAUUGAUUUUUACUUAUAUUUUAUUUUAAGAAAUAUAAUAUAAUUUUGUUUAUGCUUCAUUUUCAUAGAAGUAUGGGUAGAAAUUGCUAGUUGUAUGUAACGAUAAAAGAAAUUAAAAAGGAUGGAGAGAUUGAGGAUUCACCCUUAUUUGAUGAGACUUGGAAUAAAUUGGUACAUGUGAAGGUUUCGUCAUGAAAACUUUUAAAUAGUAGACUUUCAACUAAGGUCAAUUUGGUUCAAUGUAAAGUUCUUGAGUCAAAUGUUAAGUCGUGUGUAGGUGGUUGUGGGACAGUCCAAACUACACAACACAUAUUUUUUUCGAUUGUCCAAUAUAUAGACAUGUUUGAGUGGAUAUAUUGUGUUUGUUAGAUGUAGGUUGUCCUCUUGCAAAUAACUAUUCAACUAACGUCCUUCAAUUUGAUGGUUUGGUCCUUUGGGUAAACUUUUGAGAGAAAUACUUCAUUCCAUUUGGCUUGCACACUUUUGGUCUAUUUGAAAAUCAAAUAUUUUUCAAGAGAAAUAAAGUUAUCUUCGCUCACUCAAUUCUUGCAAUGGUGAAAUAUGUCUCAUAUUUAUGGAUCAAAUUCAAGGAGAUUAGUGUUUCUUAUGAUAUAGAUAUACAAGUGGGAUGUGUGUGAGUAAGAUACAAAAUGAGGAGAGAACAAAAUUACCAAACAAAUAAAAAUCUUAUAUCUUUUAUUUUUUAUUAUUAAUAUUUAAUAAAUAUUCAAUUUCUUCAAUCAAUUACCUCAAUUUUUUAGCGGUGUCAUCAAAUCUAUAUAAUUACAUUUUAAUAUCAUUCAUUUAUUUGAACAUGUAAUCCAUCUGUAAGUACAUAGCGAUUAAUCUCCAGUGAAAACUGAUUAUAACAAUAUAUAAGUAUGAAAUGAUGUCAUUGAAUAAAAAUAGAUAAUAAAGACAAACCACGUAUUGCAAUUUAUAUGCAGAUAGUUCCAAACUUGUGACCUUAUAAUAUAUUGUAUUCCCUCAAUUUGAGAGCAUAUUUCCUUCUACCAUAUGUUGACCUGUCAGCUUGUGCUAGCCUGAUCAUGACUAUAGACUUUCCCCCCAAUGGGCUUACCCACUCACUCACAUGGGCCUCCAAAAUAAACCUAUUAUUUUAAAUAUUAAAAUAUUAAUAAACUCAUCAAACCUUUCCUAUAAAAGCCCUUAAGCAUCAUCACUCAAACACACACCAAACCAAACCAAGAGUAUUAGCAUAGUCAAAAAGCCAUUAAUUAAUUAGCAUCUUAAUUAUUCCAAAUGGCUUCAAAAUUUGCUAUUAUUCUUCUUUCCCUCAACAUCCUAUUUUUCACUAUGGUUACCUCCAAUUAUGUUCCAUGUCCUCCACCACCCCCCAAGGGUCACAAACCCCACCACCCACCUUCCUCAAAAUCUCCAACUUGUCCUAGAGACACAAUUAAGUUUGGUGUGUGUGCUGAUUUAUUGGGUUUGAUUAAUGUUCAACUUGGUAAGCCACCAAAGACACCAUGUUGUUCACUCAUUGAUGGUCUUGCUAAUCUUGAAGCUGCUGUGUGCCUUUGCACUGCCCUUAAAGCUAAUGUGUUGGGAAUCAACCUUGAUCUUCCUAUUAACUUGAGCUUGAUACUUAACUAUUGUGGAAAGGGUGUUCCAAAGGGAUUCGUAUGCGGUUAUUGAUUAGAGACAUCACUUGAUA